CUUAGGACUUAGGCACUCAUUAUGGCAUCAUAUUAGGCACUCAUUAUGGCAUCAUAGAGUCAAAGCCUACAAAUUCUAGUCUAGCUGGAAUGAAGAGGAAAGUUGCAGAAGCACCACCAGCCAUGGCAGGGGUUGGCGAGCUUCCUUCAGUUGGUUCAAAGAAGAAACCCCAGGAGUGGAGUUGUGCUCUCUGUCAAGUAAGUGCAACAAGUGAGAAGGGUCUGAAUGAUCAUCUCCAAGGGAGAAAGCACAAGGCCAGGGGAGAAGCACUUCUAGCAAGUAAAGCAACCAAGAACACUGGUGGCUCAACUUCAACAACAAAGAAAACUUCUUCUAAACAGAUUAAGACUGCAGACACCACUGACAAUACAAAGCCAAAGCAGGGGAAGAAACAAAAGGACAAGGUAAUAAGAAGCAACCUCCUCUCAAGAAAGAUGGGGAUGCACCAGUGCAGAAAAAACAGAAGAUAGAAGAUUCAAAAAAUAAAACUGGGGAGGCCCUGGAGCAGAAAAAACAGAAGCGAGAAUCUUCAAAGAAAAUAUUUUGGUGUGAGAUGUGUCAAGUUGGUGCCUACAGCCAGAAAGUUUUGAACAAUCAUAAGAAGGGGAAGAAGCAUGUGUCUCGGUUGGAGAAACUGAAGAAAGAAAAUGGAUAUGCCCCAGUUGCAACUACCUUGUUGGAGUCUACUCAUGAUAUUGCCGAAAAUAUAGUCAUGGAAGCCAAAGAGGCAAAUGGAGAGAUGGAAAAUGUGGAUGGGGAAGCAGAUGGAGUGAAAGAGGCUGAUAAACAGUUGGCAGGUGAAGCAAACAGAUGAUGAAUCAGCUGUAGACAUGGUUGACAGUUCAAUAGUUGAGGAGUCAUCAGAGGCAUGAAAUGAUGAUUCAGGCCCAACUUCUGUAGCAGUAGUGGAGGAGCAUGAGAUUAAAAGUCAUACUUCUGAGAGUUUACUGGUAGCUCAGUGUUCCCUGCUUAGGUAGGUUGUGAAUGUAUGAAGAGUACUGUGGUAACAUUAUCAUCUAGAGUGGAAUGAUCGUCAAUUGGAUCUGCUUGAGGGUUGACCAGUCCUCUUUUUAAAGUUAAUCGUAGUGCUUAGUCAUCCCUGUUUUAUAGUAAUUUACUUGGUUCUGGCUUUCAA
Molecule: long non-coding RNA, 1135 nt
Organism: Macadamia integrifolia
Lineage: Eukaryota; Viridiplantae; Streptophyta; Magnoliopsida; Proteales; Proteaceae
Exons: 2
Source: RefSeq, a predicted model, not a curated record